RNAcentral lists this long non-coding RNA (239 nucleotides) under Mytilus galloprovincialis (Mediterranean mussel). Lineage: Eukaryota; Metazoa; Mollusca; Bivalvia; Mytilida; Mytilidae. The record is from RNAcentral.
UCGUUUUAUUCAAAAUUGCCUAUGGAUAACACUGUAUGACGUCGGUUUCUUUUUUGUCAAUACUUUAAGCAAAAUUAGACCACAUUACACGCUGCCGCUAUUAAGAUAACAUACAUGUACAGUUCAUCAUUAACAUCUUGAUGUUUUGCUUUUUUCUAAGAGUCAUUUAAAUAUAUCUGUCUAAAAAACUCGCUAACAUUUUGCUUCUUAUGUUGUGAGAUUAUUCCAUUAGUUUAGAC